Molecule: long non-coding RNA, 214 nt
Filed under: Mytilus galloprovincialis (Mediterranean mussel)
Lineage: Eukaryota; Metazoa; Mollusca; Bivalvia; Mytilida; Mytilidae
Source: RNAcentral
AAAAAAUGGUUAAUGAAAUGAUUUUUAAAAAUUUUAUACAAAUAUAGAUAUAUAUAGGAAGAUGUGGUGUGAGUGCCAAUGAGACAACUCUCCAUCAAAAUAACAAUUUAAAAAAAAGUAAACCAUUAUAGGUCAAUGUACGGCCUUCAACACCGAGCCUUGGCUCACACCGAACAACAAGCUAUAAAGGGCCCCAAAAUUACUAGUGUAAAAC